UAUCUAAGAAGAGGAGCGACUAUUAUCAGUAGUUCUGUGAAGACUAACCAGGUCAGUGAAACAGAACGAAAGGAAUCGUCGCCGAAAUUAAAUGAGUGGUAACCAUUUGAUUGGGGCUUGAUUUAAUAAAUCAAGCACUGUCGCAUUGAGAAAUGCGGAGCGCUUUGCAGACU
Molecule: regulatory RNA element, 173 nt
Rfam family: Lysine riboswitch aptamer
About the family: Riboswitches are metabolite binding domains within certain messenger RNAs that serve as precision sensors for their corresponding targets. Allosteric rearrangement of mRNA structure is mediated by ligand binding, and this results in modulation of gene expression.
Source: Rfam